AUUGAACGCUGGCGGCAGGCCUAACACAUGCGAGUCGAGCGGAUGAAGGGAGCUUGCUCCUGGAUUCAGCGGCGGACGGGUGAGUAAUGCCUAGGAAUCUGCCUGGUAGUGGGGGAUAACGUCCGGAAACGGGCGCUAAUACCGCAUACGUCCUGAGGGAGAAAGUGGGGGAUCUUCGGACCUCACGCUAUCAGAUGAGCCUAGGUCGGAUUAGCUAGUUGGUGGGGUAAAGGCCUACCAAGGCGACGAUCCGUAACUGGUCUGAGAGGAUGAUCAGUCACACUGGAACUGGGACACGGUCCAUACUCCUACGGGAGGCAGCAGUGGGGAAUAUUGGACAAUGGGCGAAAGCCUGAUCCAGCCAUGCCGCGUGUGUUAAGAAGGUCUUCGGAUUGUAAAGCACUUUAAGUUGGGAGGAAGGGCAGUAAGUUAAUACCUUGCUGUUUUGACGUUACCAACAGAAUAAGCACCGGCUAACUUCGUG
This 484-nucleotide ribosomal RNA is filed under the name uncultured bacterium. RNAcentral describes it as "partial 16S ribosomal RNA". It matches the Rfam family "Bacterial small subunit ribosomal RNA", at positions 30 to 507 of the family's 1533-position model. The record is from RNAcentral.